CUGGGUUACACGUUGACGUGUCCAAGAAAAGAAAAAAAUGGGUCUAGUCUCUUGAACCGGUCCCAAAUGCAUCAAACCCCAACGCAAUUUCACUCUCAGCUCAAACCUUACGACUAUUUUCCCCCCACAGCUGCCUCGCCCCAAAUGCAGAAAACCUCUCACAAAUCAACUCAUGCGAAGAGAUCUAAGGUUACAAGAUUGAAGCCCACCAUACGCAGCAGAAUUGGCCGUCGCUGAGGCCUUCUUCUCCGGCAAAAUAUCUUACUGUAGGGGUUCCAGCCUUGCCUUGAUUUCGUCAAAUUUCAAUUUCGCCUCUCCACUUGCCAAUCAUUUGCAGGACCCUGAAGGUGUGUUUCUUAUACUUUAUGUGAUAGAAGCAAUUAUAUAAAUAUUCAUCUUUUUUGCUUAUCAUAGCUUGAUGCAUUGAUUGGCUUGUUGAAUCCGAAGGGUGAGAGAGAAAGAGCUCUUAAAAAGCAGCUGGAGAAAAAGUACAACAAAAUAAAGUAAGUUGUUCAUGACCUUGUACCAAGAUUGUUACUUUCUCAGUUUCCAUGCCUCAAGUAAGGGGUGGAGGGGUGGCGUGGGGAGGGGAAAGUGGGAGAAAGCAAAAUGUGGGUGUGAAAUCUCGUGAAUUUAGCCAUUAUUGACUGCUAAAUUGAACAUUAAACUUGUGUCUUGUCUCGGGCAAAAAAUAAGCUAUUGUGUUGAAGUGAACAGAAUCUGAAUGUUUUGUUUGCUGUUCAGACAUUUAUGUUUGGUUUUAUAUUCGGUUAUUGUGAGUCACUUGAUUGCAUUGUGCAAGGGAAUUUUGUUAAAAAUGUUGUUUAGUUGUCUAAUGUAGUGUGUAAUAUGUGUGUUGUUACUAUUCUAAAGCACACAUCGUGUAUUGUUACUAUUGUCUUGAUGCCCAUCAGUAUAUUGUGUUUCCUUGUGCUGGUGAACAUUGCAAAACUCUGGCGGCCAAUCAUACUCAGUUUUUACUGAUUGACACAGAGAAACCACUAGUAUUUUAGAUCAUGUUUUCUGAAUUAUGUCAUCAAUGCCUGUAGGAAGAGAGUAACAUUUACGCAUUUUCAGGUUGUUCGAUACUGCAGUCCAAUCUCUUAGAUAUUGCAUUUGGUAGGAAGAAGUUAUCAAUUCCAGUGAACUUAAUACACGAGCUUCACAUGAGGGAAUCUUUCAGUGAUUUUGAUGUGUCUUUUACGAGCUAAAGAAAACUUUACUUUGAAAUUGACAGAUGAUACUAGUUGAUAGACAAAAAAUGAUGUCAAUUUCUAAUAUAUGUGGAUAUUUCAUAAGCUUUCUUAAUGAGGUCAGAUACAUGCAAAUUUCCAAGUUAAAUGGAUUAAAUGCCGAAUAAACAUACAUCCACUGACCUACAUCAUCUCGUAGCCAUGUUCCUUCAAGUUUUAUUUUACAUGUGCCUGUGAAAAUUUUGGUUUGCGUCAAAUUAUACUAUCCUGAAUUAAUACACAUCUGUUCACAAUAUUUCUUGGAUUAAUAAUAUAAGAUUUGAUAUUUUACGUUCUUUCAACCGACAACAACUCUUAUUAGUUAUUUGUAGGCACGUCCAACCUAACCUUUUGAGGAUAAAAGUGCAGCAAUCGAGAAGCUUAUGUUACUGUCAGAAUUGUUUAAAGAAUGUCCUUGACAAAUAAAUGUUCUUGCUGAAUCUCUGUUAUUAUUCUGCACCUGUUUAGUUGGUUGUUAUUAUCAGAAACACUUGAGAGGGAUUUUAUGACUUAUCUCUAAACUCAUGGCCAAUUUUAAGAUCAGUUCAUGCAUUUCUAUGUAGCAUGCUGGGAAAGAACUCCGGACUUUGUCAUAGCUGUAGAGAGAAGGGUCACUUGUUUGCGGAUUGCCCAAACAAAAGGCCAUGACCCUUGUGUAAAUGUGGAAUUGUGAAGUACUUCGAGGUCGAGAGAGAGACAAAGAACAAUGGAAGAUUGUUCGAGUGCUGCAGUGCUAACUGUAAAUAUUGGGCAUGGGUCGAUGAGGGAGAAUCAAGCAGUGGAUCAAGCAAUGUUACCGCUAACUCAAAUAAUCAUGCAGCACUUGAAGAUGUUCAGCAGUUCUCUCGCAUGUUCCAGUCUCUUUGUCACGUGGUCUCUAAGGAACGAAACAUUGAGAUUUCUUUGAAUGUGACAAUAAGGAAUGCCAACGAAAGUGCGGAAGUAGAUGUGAAAGGGAAGGGGCCAGCAUGAUUUGUGGUUAGCUGAAUAAGUGAUUAGUGUAGUUGAUGUAUUCUGUUAAUAUUGGUGUUUGCACUAAGGUGUUGGCCAGAAAAUUAUUCCUUGCAAAUGGUCAUGUUCUUGUCUUAAUGUGAUUAUUCUGGCUUGAAGUUAUGUUUAUGCAAAGCUAGUGUGUGUGAAAUAUUGUUUCAUUUUAAUAGCUUCUAGUUACGUUUUUGAAAGAAAACCAGCAUAUAGAUCAUCACUUAGCAGUUUUUAACUGAAGGAAACAGUUAUAGAGCUUCGUCUGCAAAUUGAAAGAGCUCGUGUAAGCCUCCUGUUCUUGAGCCAAAAAAGAAAGAGCUCGUAUAAGCCUUGAAUGA
RNAcentral lists this long non-coding RNA (2554 nucleotides) under Olea europaea subsp. europaea. The record is from RNAcentral. Lineage: Eukaryota; Viridiplantae; Streptophyta; Magnoliopsida; Lamiales; Oleaceae.